Molecule: ribosomal RNA, 609 nt
Filed under: uncultured Bacteroidota bacterium
Lineage: Bacteria; Pseudomonadati; Bacteroidota
Description: bacterial SSU rRNA
Rfam family: Bacterial small subunit ribosomal RNA
Source: RNAcentral
GGGGUAUAGUUCUUCGGAACUAGAGACCGGCGCACGGGUGCGUAACGCGUAUGCAACCUACCUUUCACAGGGGGAUAGCCCAGAGAAAUUUGGAUUAAUACCCCAUGGUAUAAUUGGAUGGCAUCAUUUGAUUAUUAAAGUCACAACGGUGAAAGAUGGGCAUGCGUCCCAUUAGCUAGAUGGUAAGGUAACGGCUUACCAUGGCAACGAUGGGUAGGGGUCCUGAGAGGGAGAUCCCCCACACUGGUACUGAGACACGGACCAGACUCCUACGGGAGGCAGCAGUGAGGAAUAUUGGACAAUGGGCGCAAGCCUGAUCCAGCCAUGCCGCGUGCAGGAUGACGGUCCUAUGGAUUGUAAACUGCUUUUAUACGGGAAGAAACCCUCUUUCGUGAAAGAGAUUGACGGUACCGUAAGAAUAAGGAUCGGCUAACUCCGUGCCAGCAGCCGCGGUAAUACGGAGGAUCCAAGCGUUAUCCGGAAUCAUUGGGUUUAAAGGGUCCGUAGGCGGCCUUAUAAGUCAGUGGUGAAAUCUCCCGGCUCAACCGGGAAAUUGCCAUUGAUACUGUAGGGCUUGAAUUAUUAGGAAGUAACUAGAAUAUGUAGUGU